This is a long non-coding RNA of Arvicola amphibius (Eurasian water vole), 1316 nucleotides long. RefSeq lists it as uncharacterized. The record is from RefSeq and is a predicted model, not a curated record. The transcript has 3 exons. NCBI's taxonomy places the organism in Eukaryota, Metazoa, Chordata, Mammalia, Rodentia, Cricetidae.
AAAGCCAGAUCUCCCCAGCUCAGCCGACAGAGCGCCAAAGCGGGGUAGCAAGGGGUGGAGGGAGCAAGGGAGGACGUGGGCGUGCCGCCUCGCCUCCUGCUCUGGGUCAAAUCCCUUACCUUUGUGAACGGGGAAAUGAAGCUGGUUAUGCAGAUCAGGCCGGCGUCCGCAAAGAGCUUGGCCACUUCGGCAAUCCGGCGGAUGUUCUCUUCGCGGUCUCCAGCAGAGAAUCCCAGGUUCUUGUUGAGGCCAUGACGGACAUUGUCCCCAUCCAGGGAGUAACACGGGAUGGCGUGGGAGACAAGGGGUGCACAUUAAAGAACAUGAACAUCACGUGUCUUUCUCAACAUGGAAGUGAGCUUCCCCAGUAAACACCCAGGGAAGGUAAGCAGGCAGCCGGUGAGCCGCCUUGGGAAUACAUCUGUUACUACGAGCUGCAUCUCACAGUGCGAGCUAGGGGAACACCACAGGCGGAGCAAUAGGCAAGCCCAUCACGUUGGCACUUGGGGCUCCAUGCCCAUUGUCUGACUUGACAUUAGAGGACAGAUGAGAUUGUUUUGAUGUAAAUCCCAGCUGCAGAGGAAACCAGGAAACCCCCGGCAUCAGGAAAAAUUCAAGAAUAGCAAGGAAACAAAACCAAACAAACCAGGGUGUGUUUCACAGGGGAAUCGUGAAUUCUGGGUCAGCCUGGGCUUCACCGUGAGACCCUGUCUCACUAAGCAAAAACAGUGCAUGCAAGCAGUAGCAAAUAGAAAUCAUCAGGAGAAAUCCAGGCAGGCUUCCAGCUCUGUGUUCUUCUGAGCUACUGUUAGGGUUGACCUUUGCCUGUCUGUGUGAGCAGAAAAUUACAUGUGUGUCUCUCACGGCCUAAAUAAGCAUGCUGUUGUUUCUGUGAGCUUUCCUUCACAGAAAACCUGUUUACAUGGUGAACCUGGGUUUCCCUUUCUGAAGCCUGGCUGUAUCAUCUGUCUAUCUCAGGCCCCCAGAACGUCAAGACAUCAGAGAACUAGCUCUAAACAUCCGUAACCCGACAGACUGCCAAAUAUUCACUGUGGAAGUAGGAAAAGCCCUUUUAUCGUGGCAGGAAAUGCCUGCAGGGGCGACUGUGAGCAGCUCCUUAGAGUCGGAAGAAGGUGUCACGAUCCACUUGUCUCAUCUUGUGCUGCCAAAGGAUGGUAACUGAUAACCGGUAACUCCCCACAGCCCACCAGACUCCAGUGCCCUGGACAGGAGAGCGAUGAUUGACAGCCCGGCAUCUACACAGCUUGUCACUCCCUUUAGGCCACAAAUAAACACCUACUAGGUGUGACAUGUCA